This 1734-nucleotide long non-coding RNA is filed under the name Lynx pardinus (Iberian lynx). Lineage: Eukaryota; Metazoa; Chordata; Mammalia; Carnivora; Felidae. The record is from RNAcentral.
UCUUCCAGACUCUGGGCAGGGCUCGCUGGUGGGAACCCCUCCCCCCCCCCAAGCGGCUGGGGGGUUUGGAGGGAGAGCUGCCUGCCUCCCCAGCACCUGCUUCGCGGGUCUUCCUCUCCGGCUGCAGGUCCGGGAAGGAAACUGUAGGCUUGAGCAAGCCUGGGGUCGCCGGGCCUCAGGGGAAAUCCUCCCGGCUCGCCGAGCUGCCGCGUUUUCCCGUAGUCCCCCGGGCCAUGCCGGCUCAGCUCGCUCUGAGCUUCUCCAGGGGCACCGGCUGGCUCAGGCUCCCGGAGCGCGCCGGGCGUGGAGCGCGGCGCUGCCUCGGCGCUGCGGGCCGGGCUCCGGCUGCGUCCGCUCCUGGCUCCUCUCGGCCGCCGCCCGGCACUUGCAACUAACUUCUCCCAAGUUUCCUGCGCCGGCGCCGCCGCGCCCCUCUCCGCGCGCUCGCCUCGGAGCGUGCGCCCGCCUGUGCGCCGCGCCCAGGGCCCCUCUCUCCCGGCUUCUCCUGCCAGAGCCGAGCAGGCGCUGGGCGGAGGUGCUGGAGGAGGGGAUUUAAGGAAAACGCGCCAUCACCUCUAUUCGCAGGUCCGCGCUGGGGCUGCUCCCGCUUCCCCCACUCCCGUAGCACUGUGGGCCCCUUCCUGGCCCAGGCCGCCACUCCGCCGCUCCCGAGGCGGCACGAGCCCCGUGCACGGGCUCAGGUAAGUGUAGCUACCUGCGUGUGCACGCGCCCGGAGCCGGCGCUGGGUGUGCAUGUCCACCGGCGACUGAGUGUGUGUAUAUCUGGGGGCAUGCGGAGGAGGUGGAGCCCAAGACUCCAGGAGGGAGGAGGGACCAGCGGAGCCUCCUCCCGCUCCCACACCCCCAGGACCGCGAAUUAAACCGGAUCCCCUCCGCCCCCCUCCAUACUCCUCCUCCCACCCCUUUUCACUGGAGAGCAGGUUGAGGCGAGCGGAGAGCUAGGAGCGCGCCGCGGAUUCUGCGCACUGUUUGGUGUUUGGCAACCCCUGGUGUCAUCCCGGCUACCCUGGCACUGGUCGCGGCUCUGGGAUCCUCUGCGUGGAGAAAGGAGGCGCGCACGAGAAGAAGAGCCUCUCGAACUACGGCGGAAGAGGGGACGUACCCUAGAAAAUGUUGGAGAUUUUUCCUAGGAAGAAAGUGCUCAUUUUCCUUGGAGGUCCAGAUGUUACUUGCAACAGAUGCUUCUCGCAUUUUCUUGCGCUGGUGAUGCACCCAGUCAGAGGUAGUGAAGUGAAAAAUAACUGAGGAGGAACUGAGCGUGCUCUUGGCAACCUUUUCGAAAAGGAGCUCGCCCAGGCUGAAAAUAGGCAUCCUUGGCUGACUGUUUAGCUCUUUGAAAAUUCUGGGUGUUUUGUUUUGUUUCUGUUCUGGUCGACAGAGCCAUCUAUAUGCUGAUCUCUUUCAGGUACAGUUAACUUACACUGUCUCACUUAAAUGCACAGAUAGGGUGAAGGUGUUCAAAAUCCGGAAGUGUAAAAAUGUCUCUCUGAAAGAAUAAAGUAAAAUGUACCAAUCACUCUGUACUGGAAUAGCUUUAAUGUGGUCAGUGUCCUUAGAAAGGAAGAGUUUCCUUAUAAUUGACACGAUGCAAAAAUAGCAUGAUUUUGUUUGCAUAUUUUUAUCACUUCUUGGUAUGCUGCAGCACACUCAUAGUGUGAUCAGUCUGGAGGUUUUAUUCACAAGUUGGCCUGUCCUUCGGGGAGAACUCGCUUG